Molecule: ribosomal RNA, 440 nt
Filed under: uncultured bacterium
Lineage: Bacteria
Description: partial 16S ribosomal RNA
Rfam family: Bacterial small subunit ribosomal RNA
Source: RNAcentral
CCUACGGGCGACAGCAGUGGGGAAUAUUGCACAAUGGGGGAAACCCUGAUGCAGCGACGCCGCGUGAGUGAAGAAGUAUCUCGGUACGUAAAGCUCUAUCAGCAGGGAAGAAAAUGACGGUACCUGACUAAGAAGCCCCGGCUAACUACGGGCCAGCAGCCGCGGUAAUACGUAGGGGGCAAGCGUUAUCCGGAUUUACUGGGUGUAAAGGGAGCGUAGACGGCAGCACAAGUCUGGAGUGAAAUCCCGGGGCUUAACCCCGGAACUGCUUUGGAAACUGUGCGGCUGGAGUGCAGGAGGGGUAAGCGGAAUUCCUCGUGUAGCGGUGCCAUGCGUAGCUAUUAGGAGGCACACCGGUGGCGACGGCGGCUUACUGGACUGUACCUGACGUUGAGGCUCGAAAGCGUGGGGAGCAAACAGGAUUAGAUACCCUAGUAGUC